This 71-nucleotide transfer RNA is filed under the name Myotis brandtii (Brandt's bat). It matches the Rfam family "tRNA". Rfam says of the family: Transfer RNA (tRNA) molecules are approximately 80 nucleotides in length. Their secondary structure includes four short double-helical elements and three loops (D, anti-codon, and T loops). Further hydrogen bonds mediate the characteristic L-shaped molecular structure. tRNAs have two regions of fundamental functional importance: the anti-codon, which is responsible for specific mRNA codon recognition, and the 3' end, to which the tRNAs corresponding amino acid is attached (by aminoacyl-tRNA synthetases). tRNAs cope with the degeneracy of the genetic code in two manners: having more than one tRNA (with a specific anti-codon) for a particular amino acid; and 'wobble' base-pairing, i.e. permitting non-standard base-pairing at the 3rd anti-codon position. The record is from Rfam by way of RNAcentral. Lineage: Eukaryota; Metazoa; Chordata; Mammalia; Chiroptera; Vespertilionidae.
GCCCGUGUGGCUCAGUGUUUGAGCAUCAACCUAUGAACUGGAAGGUCAUGGUUAGAUUCCAGGUUAGGGCA